RNAcentral lists this ribosomal RNA (2903 nucleotides) under Klebsiella pneumoniae. RNAcentral's name for it is "bacterial LSU rRNA". It matches the Rfam family "Bacterial large subunit ribosomal RNA". The record is from RNAcentral. RNAcentral also lists the same sequence under 1 other name. Lineage: Bacteria; Pseudomonadati; Pseudomonadota; Gammaproteobacteria; Enterobacterales; Enterobacteriaceae.
UUAAGCGACUAAGCGUACACGGUGGAUGCCCUGGCAGUCAGAGGCGAUGAAGGACGUGCUAAUCUGCGAAAAGCGUCGGUAAGGUGAUAUGAACCGUUAUAGCCGGCGAUGUCCGAAUGGGGAAACCCAGUGCAAUUCGUUGCACUAUCGUUAACUGAAUACAUAGGUUAACGAGGCGAACCGGGGGAACUGAAACAUCUAAGUACCCCGAGGAAAAGAAAUCAACCGAGAUUCCCCCAGUAGCGGCGAGCGAACGGGGAGCAGCCCGGAGUCUGAAUCAGCUUGUGUGUUAGUGGAAGCGUCUGGAAAGUCGCAGGGUACAGGGUGAUACUCCCGUACACUAAAGCACACAGGUUGUGAACUCGAAGAGUAGGGCGGGACACGUGGUAUCCUGUCUGAAUAUGGGGGGACCAUCCUCCAAGGCUAAAUACUCCUGACUGACCGAUAGUGAACCAGUACCGUGAGGGAAAGGCGAAAAGAACCCCGGCGAGGGGAGUGAAAAAGAACCUGAAACCGUGUACGUACAAGCAGUAGGAGCCCACUUGUUGGGUGACUGCGUACCUUUUGUAUAAUGGGUCAGCGACUUAUAUUCUGUAGCAAGGUUAACCGUAUAGGGGAGCCGCAGGGAAACCGAGUCUUAACUGGGCGUUAAGUUGCAGGGUAUAGACCCGAAACCCGGUGAUCUAGCCAUGGGCAGGUUGAAGGUUGGGUAACACUAACUGGAGGACCGAACCGACUAAUGUUGAAAAAUUAGCGGAUGACUUGUGGCUGGGGGUGAAAGGCCAAUCAAACCGGGAGAUAGCUGGUUCUCCCCGAAAGCUAUUUAGGUAGCGCCUCGUGAAUUCAUCUUCGGGGGUAGAGCACUGUUUCGGCUAGGGGGUCAUCCCGACUUACCAACCCGAUGCAAACUACGAAUACCGAAGAAUGUUAUCACGGGAGACACACGGCGGGUGCUAACGUCCGUCGUGAAGAGGGAAACAACCCAGACCGCCAGCUAAGGUCCCAAAGUCAUGGUUAAGUGGGAAACGAUGUGGGAAGGCCCAGACAGCCAGGAUGUUGGCUUAGAAGCAGCCAUCAUUUAAAGAAAGCGUAAUAGCUCACUGGUCGAGUCGGCCUGCGCGGAAGAUGUAACGGGGCUAAACCAUGCACCGAAGCUGCGGCAGCGACACUAUGUGUUGUUGGGUAGGGGAGCGUUCUGUAAGCCGUUGAAGGUGGCCUGUGAGGGUUGCUGGAGGUAUCAGAAGUGCGAAUGCUGACAUAAGUAACGAUAAUGCGGGUGAAAAACCCGCACGCCGGAAGACCAAGGGUUCCUGUCCAACGUUAAUCGGGCAGGGUGAGUCGACCCCUAAGGCGAGGCCGAAAGGCGUAGUCGAUGGGAAACAGGUUAAUAUUCCUGUACUCGGUGUUACUGCGAAGGGGGGACGGAGAAGGCUAUGUUGGCCGGGCGACGGUUGUCCCGGUUUAAGCAUGUAGGCGGAUGUUCCAGGUAAAUCCGGAACGUCACUAACGCUGAGGUGUGAUGACGAGGCACUACGGUGCUGAAGUGACAAAUGCCCUGCUUCCAGGAAAAGCCUCUAAGCAUCAGGUAACAUCAAAUCGUACCCCAAACCGACACAGGUGGUCAGGUAGAGAAUACCAAGGCGCUUGAGAGAACUCGGGUGAAGGAACUAGGCAAAAUGGUGCCGUAACUUCGGGAGAAGGCACGCUGAUGGUAGGUGAAGUGACUUGCUCAUGGAGCUGAAAUCAGUCGAAGAUACCAGCUGGCUGCAACUGUUUAUUAAAAACACAGCACUGUGCAAACACGAAAGUGGACGUAUACGGUGUGACGCCUGCCCGGUGCCGGAAGGUUAAUUGAUGGGGUUAUCCUCGCGGAGAAGCUCUUGAUCGAAGCCCCGGUAAACGGCGGCCGUAACUAUAACGGUCCUAAGGUAGCGAAAUUCCUUGUCGGGUAAGUUCCGACCUGCACGAAUGGCGUAAUGAUGGCCAGGCUGUCUCCACCCGAGACUCAGUGAAAUUGAACUCGCUGUGAAGAUGCAGUGUACCCGCGGCAAGACGGAAAGACCCCGUGAACCUUUACUAUAGCUUGACACUGAACACUGGUCCUUGAUGUGUAGGAUAGGUGGGAGGCUUUGAAGUGUGGACGCCAGUCUGCAUGGAGCCAUCCUUGAAAUACCACCCUUUAAUGGCUGGUGUUCUAACGUGGGCCCGUAAUCCGGGUUGCGGACAGUGUCUGGUGGGUAGUUUGACUGGGGCGGUCUCCUCCUAAAGAGUAACGGAGGAGCACGAAGGUCAGCUAAUCCUGGUCGGACAUCAGGAGGUUAGUGCAAUGGCAUAAGCUGGCUUGACUGCGAGCGUGACGGCGCGAGCAGGUGCGAAAGCAGGUCAUAGUGAUCCGGUGGUUCUGAAUGGAAGGGCCAUCGCUCAACGGAUAAAAGGUACUCCGGGGAUAACAGGCUGAUACCGCCCAAGAGUUCAUAUCGACGGCGGUGUUUGGCACCUCGAUGUCGGCUCAUCACAUCCUGGGGCUGAAGUAGGUCCCAAGGGUAUGGCUGUUCGCCAUUUAAAGUGGUACGCGAGCUGGGUUUAGAACGUCGUGAGACAGUUCGGUCCCUAUCUGCCGUGGGCGCUGGAGAAUUGAGGGGGGCUGCUCCUAGUACGAGAGGACCGGAGUGGACGCAUCACUGGUGUUCGGGUUGUCAUGCCAAUGGCAUUGCCCGGUAGCUAAAUGCGGAAGAGAUAAGUGCUGAAAGCAUCUAAGCACGAAACUUGCCCCGAGAUGAGUUCUCCCUGACCCUUUAAGGGUCCUGAAGGAACGUUGAAGACGACGACGUUGAUAGGCCGGGUGUGUAAGCGCAGCGAUGCGUUGAGCUAACCGGUACUAAUGAACCGUGAGGCUUAACCUU